RNAcentral lists this ribosomal RNA (482 nucleotides) under uncultured bacterium. Its description in RNAcentral is "partial 16S ribosomal RNA". It matches the Rfam family "Bacterial small subunit ribosomal RNA", at positions 28 to 507 of the family's 1533-position model. The record is from RNAcentral.
GAUGAACGCUAGCGGCAGGCCUAAUACAUGCAAGUCGGACGGGAUUCAGGAGCUUGCUUCUGAUGAGAGUGGCGCACGGGUGCGUAACACGUAUGUAACCUACCUUUAUCAGGGGGAUAGCCUCUCGAAAGAGAGAUUAAGCCCGCAUAAAAUCACAGCACAGCAUUGUGUAAUGAUCAAAUAUUUAUAGGAUAAAGAUGGGCAUGCGGAACAUUAGCUAGAUGGCGGGGUAACGGCCCACCAUGGCGACGAUGUUUAGGGGAUCUGAGAGGAUGGCCCCCCACACUGGUACUGAGACACGGACCAGACUCCUACGGGAGGCAGCAGUAAGGAAUAUUGGUCAAUGGGCGGAAGCCUGAACCAGCCAUGCCGCGUGCAGGAAGCCGGCCCUACGGGUUGUAAACUGCUUUUAGACGGGAAUAAACCCAGAUACGUGUAUCUGGCUGAAUGUACUGUAAGAAUAAGGAUCGGCUAACCCCGUG